GUCAGGUGUGGUGACACACACCUGUAAUCCCCGCAGCUCUGGAGGCUGAGGCAGGAGAAUCUCAGGUUUGAAGCCAGCCUCGGCAACUUAGUGAGCAUAUAAGCCAUGUAGUGAUACCCUGUCUCAA
RNAcentral lists this small RNA (127 nucleotides) under Marmota monax (woodchuck). Lineage: Eukaryota; Metazoa; Chordata; Mammalia; Rodentia; Sciuridae. The record is from RNAcentral.